This 66-nucleotide transfer RNA is filed under the name human gut metagenome. It matches the Rfam family "tRNA". From Rfam's summary of the family: Transfer RNA (tRNA) molecules are approximately 80 nucleotides in length. Their secondary structure includes four short double-helical elements and three loops (D, anti-codon, and T loops). Further hydrogen bonds mediate the characteristic L-shaped molecular structure. tRNAs have two regions of fundamental functional importance: the anti-codon, which is responsible for specific mRNA codon recognition, and the 3' end, to which the tRNAs corresponding amino acid is attached (by aminoacyl-tRNA synthetases). tRNAs cope with the degeneracy of the genetic code in two manners: having more than one tRNA (with a specific anti-codon) for a particular amino acid; and 'wobble' base-pairing, i.e. permitting non-standard base-pairing at the 3rd anti-codon position. The record is from RNAcentral. RNAcentral also lists the same sequence under 3 other names.
GCUAUAGCCAAGCGGUAAGGCAACGGACUCUGACUCCGUCAUUUCGUAGGUUCGAAUCCUACUAGC